RNAcentral lists this ribosomal RNA (497 nucleotides) under uncultured bacterium. RNAcentral describes it as "partial 16S ribosomal RNA". It matches the Rfam family "Bacterial small subunit ribosomal RNA", at positions 28 to 507 of the family's 1533-position model. The record is from RNAcentral.
GAUGAACGCUGGCGGCGUGCCUAAUACAUGCAAGUCGAGCGAACGGACGAGAAGCUUGCUUCUCUGAUGUUAGCGGCGGACGGGUGAGUAACACGUGGCUAACCUACCUAUAAGACUGGGAUAACUUCGGGAAACCGGAGCUAAUACCGGAUAAUAUUUUGAACCGCAUGAUUCAAAAGUGAACGACGGUCUUGCUGUCACUUAUAGAUGGAUCCGCGCUGCAUUAGCUAGUUGGUAAGGUAACGGCUUACCAAGGCAACGAUGCAUAGCCGACCUGAGAGGGUGAUCGGCCACACUGGAACUGAGACACGGUCCAGACUCCUACGGGAGGCAGCAGUAGGGAAUCUUCCGCAAUGGGCGAAAGCCUGACGGAGCAACGCCGCGUGAGUGAUGAAGGUCUUCGGAUCGUAAAACUCUGUUAUUAGGGAAGAACAUAUGUGUAAGUAACUGUGCACAUCUUGACGGUACCUAAUCAGAAAGCCACGGCUAACUACGUG